Molecule: ribosomal RNA, 513 nt
Filed under: uncultured bacterium
Lineage: Bacteria
Description: bacterial SSU rRNA
Rfam family: Archaeal small subunit ribosomal RNA
Source: RNAcentral
AGUGAAUAGAUACCCUGGUAGUCCCAGCUGUAAACGAUGCGCGUUAGGUGUAUCGGUGACCACGAGUCACCGAGGUGCCGAAGGGAAACCGUGAAACGUGCCGCCUGGGAAGUACGGUCGCAAGGCUGAAACUUAAAGGAAUUGGCGGGGGAGCACCACAACAGGUGGAGCCUGCGGUUUAAUCGGACUCAACGCCGGGAAGCUCACCGGAUAAGACAGCUGAAUGAUAGCCGGGUUGAAGACUCUGCUUGACUAGCUGAGAGGAGGUGCAUGGCCGUCGUCAGUUCGUACUGUGAAGCAUCCUGUUAAGUCAGGCAACGAGCGAGACCCACGCCAACAGUUGCCAGCAUGUCCUCCGGGAUGGUGGGGACACUGUUGGGACCGCCUCUGCUAAAGAGGAGGAAGGAAUGGGCAACGGUAGGUCAGCAUGCCCCGAAUUAUCCGGGCUACACGCGGGCUACAAUGGUCAGGACAAUGGGUAUCAACACCGAAAGGUGAAGGCAAUCUCCUAAA